This 554-nucleotide ribosomal RNA is filed under the name Enterocytozoon bieneusi. RNAcentral's name for it is "SSU rRNA". It matches the Rfam family "Microsporidia small subunit ribosomal RNA", at positions 350 to 909 of the family's 1311-position model. Lineage: Eukaryota; Fungi; Microsporidia; Enterocytozoonidae. The record is from RNAcentral.
UGAGUGUAAAGACCUUAGGGUGAAGCAAUUGGAGGGCAAGCUUUGGUGCCAGCAGCCGCGGUAACUCCAACUCCAAGAGUGUCUAUGGUGGAUGCUGCAGUUAAAGGGUCCGUAGUCGUGAAUGCAAUUAAAUGUCGUUGUUCAAUAGCGAUGAGUUUGCUAAUGUUUGCGGAACGGAUAGGGAGUGUAGUAUAGACUGGCGAAGAAUGAAAUCUCAAGACCCAGUUUGGACUAACGGAGGCGAAGGCGACACUCUUAGACGUAUCUUAGGAUCAAGGACGAAGGCAGGAGUAUCGAAAGUGAUUAGACACCGCUGUAGUUCCUGCAGUAAACUAUGCCGACAGCCUGUGUGUGAGAAUACGUGGGCGGGAGAAAUCUUAGUGUUCGGGCUCUGGGGAUAGUACGCUCGCAAGGGUGAAACUUAAAGCGAAAUUGACGGAAGGACACUACCAGGAGUGGAUUGUGCUGCUUAAUUUAACUCAACGCGGGAAAACUUACCAGGGUCAAGUCAUUCGUUGAUCGAAUACGUGAGAAUGGCAGGAGUGGUGCAUGGA